GAUCCUGGCUCAGGAUGAACGCUAGCUACAGGCUUAACACAUGCAAGUCGAGGGGCAGCAUGGUCUUAGCUUGCUAAGGCUGAUGGCGACCGGCGCACGGGUGAGUAACACGUAUCCAACCUGCCGUCUACUCUUGGCCAGUCUUCUGAAAGGAAGAUUAAUCCAGGAUGGGAUCAUGAGUUCACAUGUUCGCAUGAUUAAAGGUAAGUUUCGUUCGUACGA
RNAcentral lists this ribosomal RNA (222 nucleotides) under uncultured bacterium. RNAcentral describes it as "partial 16S ribosomal RNA". It matches the Rfam family "Bacterial small subunit ribosomal RNA", at positions 15 to 225 of the family's 1533-position model. The record is from RNAcentral.